UCGUAGAUUCUUGAACACCUGGGAACUCCAGUUUAAAACAAAGAAUUCCCCUUUUUUUCUUGAGAAUUGCUCCCACAAUGGCGCUUUCAUUUUGUGUGAGGACUGGAAUGAUGGCUUCUGUCUGUUUCUGAAAACCUCAGUGUGGCCUCAAGUGAACAGGAAAAGCUCAUAUUUCAAGGCCACUGACUGCAGCCCAUUCACCUCCCUUGAAGCAACGGACACUGUCGCCUUUCCAGUACAGAAAAUAAGGAAUACAGUUGGGUUUCCAGAAGUGCGUGACCACACACCGUUCUAGAGCACAUUCUCUACUAUGCAGGUUACUGGCGUGGUUGGUGGGAAGACAAGGACCGCUAUGAACCCCAAGCUGACGGAUAAUGUGGAGUACUG
Long non-coding RNA from Mus musculus (house mouse), 387 nucleotides. RefSeq annotates it as predicted gene, 53793. NCBI's taxonomy places the organism in Eukaryota, Metazoa, Chordata, Mammalia, Rodentia, Muridae. The record is from RefSeq and is a predicted model, not a curated record. The transcript has 3 exons.